RNAcentral lists this unclassified non-coding RNA (239 nucleotides) under rhizosphere metagenome. RNAcentral describes it as "partial ribosomal RNA internal transcribed spacer region". The record is from RNAcentral.
GUUGGUGAACCAGCGGAGGGAUCAUUACAGAGUUGCAAAACUCCCACAAACCAUCGCGAAUCUUACCCGUACGGUUGCCUCGGCGCUGGCGGUCUGGAGGCCCUCGGGCCCCCGGACCCUCGGGCCCCUCUCGGGGGGCUGCCCGCCGGAGUGCCGAAACCAAACUCUUGAUAUCUAAUGUCUCUCUGAGUAAACUUUUAAAUAAGUCAAAACUUUCAACAACGGAUCUCUUGGUUCUG